Molecule: non-coding RNA, 458 nt
Organism: Elaeis guineensis (African oil palm)
Lineage: Eukaryota; Viridiplantae; Streptophyta; Magnoliopsida; Arecales; Arecaceae
Source: RefSeq, a predicted model, not a curated record
CGCAAAUACUGAGCUCUCCUCUUCUUUCCAAGCUAUUUGCGAACUAUUUCUCUAUCGUAUUCUUGCUGCUUUUGAGAUAAUGGGUUCGAUGAAGGUCCAGGCUCUCCUCCUCGCCUACGUCCUUCUCGCGAUGCUUUUGCAUCCUUGCCUUUGCCAAGGCAUGGAAGCCUCAGCAACAGCAAAUGCCAGGAUAAUUGACCGCAAGGCAAUUGAUCAAGGGAUUGCUUACGUGCUGAUGUUUGUGGCCCUCCUUGUUACUUACAUUAUUCAUUGAUCUGGACUUAAUCCAUCAAUAGACGUGGUUUCCUUUUUUCUGUAAUAAGAACCAUGCAGCUCUCUUACAAUUUGCAGCCAAUGGUUGCAGCCCUAGUUACUUGUGCUCCAUUUAGCAAUUGUAAAAAUAUGAGAUUAAGCAUGAUAACAAUUAAAUGAAAGAUCAUCAUUGGGUCAUUGACCAA